AGCCAGACUCCUACGGGAGGCAGCAGUGGGGGAUAUUGGACAAUGGGGGGAACCCUGAUCCAGCGACGCCGCGUGAGUGAAGAAGUAUUUCGGUAUGUAAAGCUCUGUCAGCAGGGAAGAAAGAAAUGACGGUACCUGACCAAGAAGCCCCGGCUAACUACGUGCCAGCAGCCGCGGUAAUACGUAGGGGGCAAGCGUUAUCCGGAAUUACUGGGUGUAAAGGGAGCGUAGACGGUUAAGUAAGUCUGGAGUGAAAGGCCGGGGCCCAACCCCGGGACUGCUCUGGAAACUGGCAGGCUGGAGUGCCGGAGAGGCAGGCGGAAUUCCUAGUGUAGCGGUGAAAUGCGUAGAUAUUAGGAGGAACACCAGUGGCGAAGGCGGCCUGCUGGACGGUGACUGACGCUGAGGCUCGAAAGCGUGGGGAGCAAACAGGAUUAGAUACCCCCGUA
This 449-nucleotide ribosomal RNA is filed under the name uncultured bacterium. RNAcentral describes it as "bacterial SSU rRNA". It matches the Rfam family "Bacterial small subunit ribosomal RNA", at positions 329 to 792 of the family's 1533-position model. The record is from RNAcentral.